Molecule: ribosomal RNA, 935 nt
Filed under: Succinivibrio dextrinosolvens
Lineage: Bacteria; Pseudomonadati; Pseudomonadota; Gammaproteobacteria; Aeromonadales; Succinivibrionaceae
Description: bacterial SSU rRNA
Rfam family: Bacterial small subunit ribosomal RNA
Source: RNAcentral
GCUUGCUUUUCCUGAUGACGAGUGGCGGACGGGUGAGUAAAGUUUGGGAAGCUACCUGAUAGAGGGGGACAACAGUUGGAAACGACUGCUAAUACCGCAUACAGCCUGAGGGUGAAAGCAGCAAUGCGCUAUCAGAUGCGCCCAAAUGGGAUUAGCUAGUAGGUGAGGUAAAGGCUCACCUAGGCGACGAUCUCUAGCUGGUCUGAGAGGAUGAUCAGCCACAUUGGGACUGAGACACGGCCCAGACUCCUACGGGAGGCAGCAGUAGGGAAUAUUGCACAAUGGAGGAAACUCUGAUGCAGCCAUGCCGCGUGUGUGAAGAAGGCCUUCGGGUUGUAAAGCACUUUCGGAGGGGAGGAGAAUGACGUUACCCUCAGAAGAAGCACCGGCUAACUCCGUGCCAGCAGCCGCGGUAAUACGGAGGGUGCAAGCGUUAAUCGGAAUAACUGGGCGUAAAGGGCAUGCAGGCGGUUAAACAAGUAGGAUGUGAAAUCCCCGGGCUCAACCUGGGAGCUGCAUACUAAACUGUUUAACUAGAGUAUUGCAGGGGGAGACGGAAUUCCAGGUGUAGCGGUGGAAUGCGUAGAUAUCUGGAAGAACACCAAAGGCGAAGGCAGUCUCCUGGGCAAAUACUGACGCUCAUAUGCGAAAGCGUGGGUAGCAAACAGGAUUAGAUACCCUGGUAGUCCACGCCGUAAACGAUGUCAAUUAGGAGCUUGUGCGAUAGUAUGGGUUCCGCAGCAAACGCGAUAAAUUGACCGCCUGGGGAGUACGGCCGCAAGGUUAAAACUCAAAUGAAUUGACGGGGGCCCGCACAAGCGGUGGAGCAUGUGGUUUAAUUCGACGCAACGCGAAGAACCUUACCUGACCUUGACAUAGUGAGAACCUCUCUGAAGGGAGAGGGUGCCUUCGGGAGCUCACAUACAGGUGCUGCA